AAAGUUCAAAACGACUACGUUCGACAUAAAUUGAAGAAGUAAAUAUAUAUAUACAUCUCAAACCCAAAGGAGCGAGGAUUUUACGAUCCAAACACAUCAGAAUUUGCAAAGUUGGAAUCAAUUUAACAAGCACAGACAUCAUUGUGUUGGUGAAUUAGGUUAAAGUUUUAUGUCACUAAAUUUACUUGAUUCUCUUGUUAUUUUAUGUUCUUUUUAAUUUAUUUCCUCUCUCUUUUUCCUUGCAUUAAAUUUGAGCUCUAAAAUUUGUUCCUUUUAGAGGGAAUGGAAUCAUCGUCAUCGUCGUCUUCUAUAAUAAGUCCAGAAGAUGUAUUAGAAUCACUCAUGAACGAUGGUACUAUUGAUGCUCUCAGAUUAAAGAUCAUUAAUCAGCUUAAAGCAAACGAAGAGUUAAAGAAUACAACUAUUAGAAUGGCUGAACAAAGCAAGGUUUUAAAUACACCUGGAGCUGAGAAGCAGACUAAAAGAGAGUUGUUUGAUGCGCUUCGACAGGAACUCGAAACUCCAGUACUUGAGAAGGCCUCUAGAUCAGUGUGGGAGUUAAUCCUAGAUAGCAAUGGAUUGGGGAAAGAAAUAAGUGAAACCGUUGAAAGAGUGUUCUGUAGAUUAAGUGGACGGGAACCUCCAUUGUUUCCAGUGCAAAAUGCUGAAACCCAGUUGACUAAAGAAAAUGACAAGAAGGGAGGAGAAGGAAAAGAAGAGGAGAGUGAAAGUCAGAAGGAAAAAUUAAACUCAAAUUCAAAAAAAAGGAGUUAUAGUGAGAUGAACAUGGAAGGAAGGGGAACUGAACUUGGAAGCCAGUCGGCUAAUGAAGUUGCAGGAAAACCCAGUGAACCUGCACUUCUACAAGAAAGCUCUAGUAAAUCCCCUCUGCCAACUUGAUAGAAUUCAACCUUUGUGUGGAACUAGCUGUGCUUUGCAGAGGAAAUUAUCAGUCGGGAUUAAAUUUGCUUUGGCCGCCUCUCAAGUAAAUUUCUAGUUGUGCCACUGCAUAAGAUGAGCUCCAAGUUGCCCGUAAGCUAUACCUGAUGCAUCCUUCUGACUGCCUCCGUCCAUGCCUUUUUGGAUCUUAACAUUGUUAGUUUGAAGUCUCGUAGCUUAAACGGUAUCAGAGCUAAUCUGGGUUUACCAUGGUCAAACCAGUUGCACAGUAUGUGGCAGUAUGAUUUGCAGGCUGCAGCUUUCUCCAAGGCAUAGGGAUUCAAGCAGUUACCUGAGGGCAAAUUCUUACAGCUCUCCAAGAACAUCAGUGGUUAGGUGGUGAAAGAGUAGUACCCUUUACUCUUUAAGGGUUGCCAAUGAUUAUGGAUAAUGCCAGAAUUGAAUGUGAAUAUGUGCAAGUCACAACUGGCAAAGGUUUAGGUAUUGGGCUAAUUUUUUAGGAUAACAUGAUUGUAUUCAAAUUUAUGUUGCCUCUCGUGUUGAAGAAGACUAGCAGAGACUACAUGAAGGAUGAUAUUACGUUUGUGAUAUUGAUGGCCACUUGAGAAUUGAAUUAGCAAGCAUGCCCAAGAAAUGACCACCCUUUAGGAGGAUCGGAAAACAAGCUACCACUCAAUGCAAUGACGGCUACUAGAUUGUUAUUGACUAGAAUCUUGAUCUGACUCGAAAUGCUGCUUUGUGUUUAAGGCAGCUAGCAUGACGCGUUUAGUGACUUGUAGGAAAAGCCUUGUACUGCACAACUGUAUGUUAGAAGAGCAAUAGAAAUAACUUUUUUGACAAGACAUGUACACAUUCCCUUCAAAUUAUACUUUCUUCAAAGAAAUGAUUCAUUAAACAGAUAUAAAAGUUAACCAUUCUUUU
Molecule: RNA transcript, 1821 nt
Organism: Ricinus communis (castor bean)
Lineage: Eukaryota; Viridiplantae; Streptophyta; Magnoliopsida; Malpighiales; Euphorbiaceae
Exons: 5
Source: RefSeq, a predicted model, not a curated record